UACGGAGGGUGCAAGCGUUAUCCGGAUUCCCUGGGUUUAAAGGGUGCGUAGGCGGGUUGGUAAGUCCGUGGUGAAAUCCCCAAGCUUAACUUGGGAACUGCCGUGGAUACUAUCAAUCUUGAAUAUCGUGGAGGUAAGCGGAAUAUGUCAUGUAGCGGUGAAAUGCUUAGAUAUGACAUAGAACACCAAUUGCGUAGGCAGCUUACUACACGAUCAUUGACGCUGAGGCACGAAAGCGUGGGGAGCAAACAGG
This 253-nucleotide ribosomal RNA is filed under the name uncultured bacterium. Its description in RNAcentral is "partial 16S ribosomal RNA". It matches the Rfam family "Bacterial small subunit ribosomal RNA", at positions 524 to 776 of the family's 1533-position model. The record is from RNAcentral.